GGUGGGUCUCGAGGCAGGUAGGGGUCGCCGGAACCGUAGGUGGAGCGGUGAAAUGCGUAGAUAUCUACGGGAACGCCGAUGGUGAAGACGGGCGACUGGGCCUGUCCUGACGCUGAGGCACGAAAGCGUGGGGAGCAAACAGGAUUAGAUACCCUGGUAGUCCACGCCGUAAACGAUGCGCGCUAGAUCGGUGCGGCUCUGACGCCGUAUCGGUCGGAGCAAAAGCGAUAAGCGCGCCGCCUGGGGAGUACGGUCGCAAGGCUAAAACUCAAAGGAAUUGACGGGGGCUCACACAAGCGGUGGAGCAUGUUGCUUAAUUCGAUGCAACGCGAAGAACCUUACCUGGGUUUGACAUGGCCGGAUUAACCCCCGGAAACGGGGGCCACACCCGCAAGGGUGGAACGGUCACAGGUGCUGCAUGGCUGUCGUCAGCUCGUGCUGUGAAGUGUCGGGUUAAGUCCCUUAACGAGCGCAACCCCUGUCGUUAGUUGCUCGGCGCAAGCCAGUACUCUAGCGAGACUGCCGUUGUAAGACGGAGGAAGGUGGGGAUGACGUCAAGUCCUCAUGGCCCUUAUGUCCAGGGUUGCAAACGUGCUACAAUGGCGCGCACAAAGCGACGCGAGGCCGCGAGGCGGAGCAAAUCGCAAAAAUCGCGCCCCAGUUCGGAUUGCAGGCUGCAACUCGCCUGCAUGAAGUCGGAAUCGCUAGUAAUCGGGGAUCAGCUACGCCCCGGUGAAUGUGUUCCUGAGCCUUGUACACACCGCCCGUCAAGUCAUGGAAGCCGGGAGCGCCCAAAGUCGCCGUAUCUCAACGGUGCCUACGGCAAGCUCGGUGACUGGGACUAAGUCGUAACAAGGUAGCC
Molecule: ribosomal RNA, 862 nt
Filed under: uncultured bacterium
Lineage: Bacteria
Description: bacterial SSU rRNA
Rfam family: Bacterial small subunit ribosomal RNA
Source: RNAcentral